This 468-nucleotide ribosomal RNA is filed under the name uncultured bacterium. Its description in RNAcentral is "partial 16S ribosomal RNA". It matches the Rfam family "Bacterial small subunit ribosomal RNA", at positions 28 to 507 of the family's 1533-position model. The record is from RNAcentral.
GACGAACGCUGGCGGCGUGCUUAACACAUGCAAGUCGAACGGAAAGGCCCUGCAUUUGUGGGGUGCUCGAGUGGCGAACGGGUGAGUAACACGUGAGUAACCUGCCCUUGACUUUGGGAUAACUUCAGGAAACUGGGGCUAAUACCGGAUAGGAGCUCCGGCUGCAUGGUGGGGGUUGGAAAGUUUCGGCGGUUGGGGAUGGACUCGCGGCUUAUCAGCUUGUUGGUGGGGUAGUGGCUUACCAAGGCUUUGACGGGUAGCCGGCCUGAGAGGGUGACCGGCCACAUUGGGACUGAGAUACGGCCCAGACUCCUACGGGAGGCAGCAGUGGGGAAUAUUGCACAAUGGGCGGAAGCCUGAUGCAGCAACGCCGCGUGCGGGAUGACGGCCUUCGGGUUGUAAACCGCUUUCGCCUGUGACGAAGCGUGAGUGACGGUAAUGGGUAAAGAAGCACCGGCUAACUACGUG